Molecule: ribosomal RNA, 472 nt
Filed under: uncultured bacterium
Lineage: Bacteria
Description: bacterial SSU rRNA
Rfam family: Bacterial small subunit ribosomal RNA
Source: RNAcentral
AUUGAACGCUGGCGGCAGGCCUAACACAUGCAAGUCGAGCGGUAGAGAGAAGCUUGCUUCUCUUGAGAGCGGCGGACGGGUGAGUAAUGCCUAGGAAUCUGCCUGGUAGUGGGGGAUAACGUUCGGAAACGAAAGCUAAUACCGCAUACGCCCGAGAGGGGAAAGAUUUAUCGCUAUAAGAUUAGCCCGCGUGAGAUUAGGUAGUUGGUGGGGUAAUGGCCUACCAAGCCUACGAUCUCUAGCUGGUCUGAGAGGAUGAUCAGCCACACUGGAACUGAGACACGGUCCAGACUCCUACGGGAGGCAGCAGUGGGGAAUAUUGGGCAAUGGACGAAAGUCUGACCCAGCCAUGCCGCGUGAAUGAUGAAGGCCUUAGGGUUGUAAAGUUCUUUCGCCGAUGAAGAUAAUGACGGUAGUCGGAGAAGAAGCCCCCGGCUAACUUCGUGCCAGCAGCCGCGGUAAUGUGACUACU